CCAUCCCAGUUCGGAUCGCAGGCUGCAACCCGCCUGCGUGAAGUUGGAAUCGCUAGUAAUCGCGGAUCAGCAUGCCGCGGUGAAUACGUUCCCGGGCCUUGUACACACCGCCCGUCACACCAUGAGAGUCGGGAACACCCGAAGUCCGUAGCCUAACCGCAAGGGGGCGCGGCCGAAGGUGGGUUCGAUAAUUGGGGUGAAGUCGUAACAAGGUAAC
This 217-nucleotide ribosomal RNA is filed under the name uncultured bacterium. RNAcentral describes it as "partial 16S ribosomal RNA". It matches the Rfam family "Bacterial small subunit ribosomal RNA", at positions 1283 to 1500 of the family's 1533-position model. The record is from RNAcentral.